This 406-nucleotide ribosomal RNA is filed under the name uncultured bacterium. Its description in RNAcentral is "partial 16S ribosomal RNA". It matches the Rfam family "Bacterial small subunit ribosomal RNA", at positions 30 to 526 of the family's 1533-position model. The record is from RNAcentral.
AUUGAACGCUGGCGGCAGGCCUAACACAUGCAAGUCGAACGAGUGGCGGACGGGUGAGUAAUGUCUGGGAAACUGCCUGAUGGAGGGGGAUAACUACUGGAAACGGUAGCUAAUACCGCAUACCCUCGGAUGUGCCCAGAUGGGAUUAGCUAGUAGGUGGGGUAAAGGCUCACCUAGGCCACGAUCCCUCGCUGGUCUGCGAGGAUGACCAGCCACACUGGAACUGGGAAACGGUCCAGACUCCUACGGGAGGCAGCAGUGGGGAAGAUUGGACAAUGGGCGAAAGCCUGAUGCAGCCAUGCCGCGGGUAUGAAGAAGGCCUUCGGGUUGUAAAGUACUUUAAGCGGGGAGGCGUUACCCGCAGAAGAAGCACCGGCUAACUCCGUGCCAGCAGCCGCGGUAAUAC